CUACUUCUCCACAUUGAAUAAUGAAGCGAUUGGCGUGCUGCAUUGUCAAUGUAUCAUUUUGUCCAAAAAAUUUGGUGAAAUCUGGUACCUUGUACUGGUUUGGGAGAGGAAUUAAAUCAUAUGCUAGAGGGUAUGGUCUCCGAUAAGAAUAAAUAUUAACUUUGGGUUUUAUCUCAAACUGAAUCAGCCUCCUGCCGAUGAACUAGCUGAAUUUCUACAGGAGGCACAUCCUGAUAUGCUUCCACAUGUCUUUGUGGCACACGAUCUCCACCAAUAGGCAUAUUCGCCACUGUUUGUGGCCCUCCAAUCUACUGGACAGGGUUGAAGGGUCGAGAUGGCGGACUAGAGGGGGGUGAAUAGUCCUUUCUAAAAAUUAUUACGCCGGCUAACCGAAACAAAUGCGGAAUUAAAACUAUCGGUCUAGCCAAGACUACACCCCUCUAUCUAAGUUCUAUAGCACCUUGAAAAGAUCCUAAACAAGCA
RNAcentral lists this long non-coding RNA (483 nucleotides) under Sorghum bicolor (sorghum). Its description in RNAcentral is "long non-coding RNA (SBIC_LNC010698)". Lineage: Eukaryota; Viridiplantae; Streptophyta; Magnoliopsida; Poales; Poaceae. The record is from RNAcentral.